GCUGGCGGCGCGCCUAACACAUGCAAGUCGAACGAGAAAGUGGAGCAAUCCAUGAGUACAGUGGCGUACGGGUGAGUAACACGUGGGUAAUCUACCUCUUAGUGUGGAAUAACCCUGGGAAACCGGGGCUAAUACCGCAUAAGCUCGAGAGAGGAAAGCAGCAAUGCGCUGAGAGAGGAGCCCGCGGCCGAUUAGCUAGUUGGCAGGGUAAAAGCCUACCAAGGCAAAGAUCGGUAGCCGGCCUGAGAGGGCACACGGCCACACUGGCACUGAAACACGGGCCAGACUCCUACGGGAGGCAGCAGUGGGGAAUCUUGCACAAUGGGGGCAACCCUGAUGCAGCGACGCCGCGUGAGCGAUGAAGCCCUUCGGGGUGUAAAGCUCUUUCGGCAGGGAAGAUUAUGACGGUACCUGCAGAAGCAGCUGCGGCUAACUACGUGCCAGCAGCCGCGGUAAUACGUAGGCAGCAAGCGUUGUUCGGAGUUACUGGGCGUAAAGGGUGUGUAGGCGGUUCUCUAAGUUUGGUGUGAAAUCUCCCGGCUCAACUGGGAGGGUGCGCCGAAUACUGAAGGACUAGAGUACGGGAGAGGAGAGUGGAAUUCCUGGUGUAGCGGUGAAAUGCGUAGAUAUCAAGAGGAACACCGGUGGUGUAGACGGC
Molecule: ribosomal RNA, 658 nt
Filed under: uncultured soil bacterium
Lineage: Bacteria
Description: bacterial SSU rRNA
Rfam family: Bacterial small subunit ribosomal RNA
Source: RNAcentral